Long non-coding RNA from Pipra filicauda (Wire-tailed manakin), 4897 nucleotides. RefSeq lists it as uncharacterized. The record is from RefSeq and is a predicted model, not a curated record. NCBI's taxonomy places the organism in Eukaryota, Metazoa, Chordata, Aves, Passeriformes, Pipridae. The transcript is spliced from 9 exons.
GCGGACGCUGUGCUGCCUGUCGGGAAGCUGCUGCCGCCGUGGCGGAGAAGGGCAGCAGUGAGGGCAGCGAGGCAGGGGCGGGGCUGGCCCCGCGGCCUCAGGCCCGGGCAGGGGUGGUGGCAGUGGGAAGGGUUCAUUUUAGGUGCUUUUCUUUUAUAAAUAAUACUGUUAAUAGUAGCGUCAUGUUGAAAAGGACUUUUCCCCCUGGCCUGCAGACGGGUGUUGCGGGUUAGGAGCGAUUUUUAGCCUUCAGAAAGUUCCAGGCCCAAUCCUCUUGGUUCAGCACUGAGCUCAAAACCAGGGAGCUGAAACUGUUGACCGCACCUGCCAGCAAAGGGCAAGAGCAGAAAGCUGCAAUGCUCAUUGUGAGUUAUGGCAUCAUUCACCCCAACUUGGUGUGCUGAAACCAACAACAGUGGGAUGGAGACCCUGCACACCAGAUUCAACGAGAGGUCCCCACAACGACGGAAAUGCUGUUUUGGUCUCAAUUUCUAUUUUCAUCUUUCUCCAUUACGUUAUCUGAAGAGCAACAAGAACAGAUGGAUGCUUCCUUAACACCUGCUGCUGUGGGAGUCUUCUGAAACACUUGCAAUGUUUUUGUAGCUCCUAGACACAUGGACUGUCACCUGUUUACACCACUGUCCACCUCCAUGUGGGCCAGCAGUGCUCUGCCCCAGGACUCAGUUUUCACACAGCAGCAUGGAGACAAGCCAGCUGGAAUGGGCAAGUCCGUGGUUUUCUGGAGAACAGAGGAGUUAUUUACAUAAAGCACAUUCUUCUAGUCAGCAAUUUCCAAUAAAACCAUGAAAACUAUACUUUCAGGUUUGAUGAAGAAGUAUGAAAAACUACAGAAUCUCUCUGUGUGAAGAGGAAAAGCAAAACAAAAUUGUGAUGGAAAAAUGAAGCAAUUAAAACAAAAGCAGGAAGGUUUUUUUAAGCCUGCUUGUAGCACUGAGACUGAAGGACACUAGAAUGGCCUGCGAAUUCCUUCUGUCUGGCCACUGGAGCCCAGCCCGGUGCCCAGGGAUGUGGGGCCUCUAUUCAGACUGAUGGACAUGGCUGAUGCUUUUCCCUUUGUGGAAAAGCUAAUUUUGUGUUGAAGACUAUGAGCAAGCAGGUGGAAUGAGAAGAAACAGAAGAGGACUCACAAAACAUAUGGACUACAUUUUUCAAUAUUAGGCAUAAUCUAGUGUGUAUUUAUAAAUUACACAUAUAGAAACUAACAGAAUGUAAAUGACUGUGUGCAACAGCAAUACCUGACUUGUACUGCACAGGAGGCAUUGGAUUAAUGAAUCAACUGCAUAUUUCAAGUUUUGAGUGUCUAGUUUUGAAAUUUUAGCCCAUAUAUCCAUUUACUCCAAUAAGUAGCAGUAAUAAGUAAAUCACUUUUACUCUUAUCUGUGUAAAUGGUACUUAUGCAAGGAAAAUAGACAGACAUUUGGACAAGAGGAAAAUGGUUGGUCUAGCUCUUUUUGUCUCUAUCUGGAGACGUAUUCCAUAAUGCAAAAACAGAGGCUACAAAAAACUCUUAACAUACUGGAGUAUGAAGUGUUAUCUGUUAGAAAAAAAAAGGAAACUCACAGACAGCUUGUUUAUGACUUUAAGAGUGUAAACACACAUCUAUUUUAUUUAAUUCGGUAAUCCUCUGACAAAACUUGUGAUGUGUUUGAUCAUCAGACUUCUUGUUCAGCUUCCAUCAUAGAAGUAUCUCUGCUUUCCUCAGGGGUAUUGACAGCUGGCAGCAAUCAAAGUCAUCUAACUGCCAGUAUCUCAUUUAAAGGGAAUGACAUUCAGCUACAAAACACCAAAAUUACUUUAAAUCACUGCACAGUACUGUACUAUGCAUCUCAAUGAAAAAAUACAACCUCUCUUAGAAAUGGAGACAUUUAGACCCUUUUUUCUGGGAAGGGUUUUGUUCGCUAACCAGUACCUCGAAGGUGAGCAGUGCACGACAUCACUUGUUCUUGAGCGAGACUCAGGCAUAAGUCAGCCAUGUCUAUCAUAAUCCACUUUGAAUAUGUUGUCUUUGACUUAAACAAUAUGAAGCAAUCUUCUUGAGAAUUAGUGUAAUCGGUUUAUCUGUGGCCUUUCAAACAGAAGCAGCAUAUUUCAGUAAAUCACACUUUCAAAACAAAUCAUUCCACCUAUCUGGCUUUUGUUUGUGGCAAGCCAAGUACAAGUUGUCCUAUAAUGUGCUGGAGUAGAGUCCCAUGUAAUUUUUCUUCUUCCUUCUAUCUUGUUUUCUAGGAUUCUUAAAGAAGAAAAGUCAAACCAACAAGUUUUUUAAUGACAGGGAUAGAAGGCGAGAGAACUUUUCCUGAAAAUUUCCAGUGAUAUAAGGCUCUCUCGGCACCUUGUCCUGACUGAAAAAUGUUAGGACCUUAGUCUCUUAACUAUACACUUAACAGUGUAUAUUAAAUAGCCUAGAACUACAAAGUGGCUCUCCAGCAAUUCCCAGCUUGUCCCAGUGUCAGGUUUCGAUAUAGCACAACUCUCUAGAAAAGUGAAAAGGACAAAAUGAAUGACCCAUUACUCUAGGGAAUUAUAUAUAUUGCUGUACUGAUGGACUAACUGGGACUAGUGAUGGGACUGGCACAAUCUUUUUCUGUGAUGUACAUACACUGUCAUCACUUGUAACUUCUGCAGAGUAGUGGGGUCAAUUUUGGUUUUUACUUAGCAUGUUGGUAAUGUCCUGGUUACCAGAGCAUGAACAGGUCUGUAUUGAAAUUUCAACCCAUGUGUUUCUCUACCAUAUGCCUAUCAUCUUUUUAGUCCUUCAAGUCAGUAGUUUCAGAGCACUGUAGGCUCCUUAAGCCUAUUUUGGCCCUCCUAAAUUCAGUUCUCAGGCAAAUAGCUACGUCAUGCUUUUAUGUAUUAAUUCGGAAUCUUCAGCUGUGUACUUUAGUUUUCCAUUUUCCAUCAGGACUUUUCUCAGAUGUCUCUUCUUUCCUGGCAUUAUACAUUUGGUUUCUGCAUCACUCACAGACUCUUAAAUAUUUUCAUAUUUUUUUUAAAAAUGCAUAACACAUUUGAGUAGAAGGACCCAUCCCGAGUCAGGCUUCACAGUAUAUUGACAUGAUGAAGUUACUUAAACAUUUAGCUUGAGAUAAUUAAAAGCUAUGAAGCUUAACAAGUGACAUAAACAGAUAUAGUUGGAAGUAAAGGAUGUUCUGAUGGUCUUCCUCCUCAUUCAGUGCUUAGAUGGCAAAUAUAAAUGUUCCUUAAAUCUUUUAUUUUUCUUUCAGAAUCCAGGUUAAAGUUCUAGUGAUCUUUUACAUCUUAGUUACAUCCUUUUUACAUCUUUUACUACAUCCUAGUUUUCAACUCAGAUUAUUUCCUCUACCAUUUACUCAUAAUACUUGUGUUCAACAGCCAUGGUAGGGAAAAGCACUUAGAUGGGAUCUUAUUUAUUCAGUGACAAGUUCCAAAUGUUUCUGCAUAACAGAACAGACACUAUUGUAGUUCCUCCUUUGGCUCCCUAAUUCAAACUGAGCUAUCUAUUACAACAGCUCCUAAUUCUUCACAUUUCUCUCUCUCUUUUAACAUGACAUAUUUGCUAUAGUCUGAAGCAACUGAUUAAAAACAAAACAAAACCUCAAAACCAAAAAGAAGCAAACAAAAAACCCCAAUCUGAAUUUACAGGUCAGUUCGAAAACUUGAAUACAUCCUCUAUGUCAUAUUCAUUGAAUAGCCUACUGGUCAGAUUACCCAGCUGAUAAACUGUAAAUUAUAAGUCUUUUUUGUGCACAAUGAAAGAGAUGAACAACAGCAUGAAAUACCUGAAGCUAUGAGUUGUCCAGUACCAAAAUGGACAAAAGUCCAAUUAUGAGGACUGCAAUCAAGAGCUACAGAAUUACCAUUGACUCAGGUUGUUUCCAUGGAAUAUUCUACAAAAGAAUUUAUCCAACAAAACCUUGAAGUAGGGGAGUGCUGGUAUUGCUAUCUACUCACUCCCAGAAUAAAUAACUCCAUUGAUCCAGAAAACUGACUACAUUUCUUGUAGCUAUAAAAAUUAAUCAAAAUUUUACCUGUAGUCUUUUACAUUUUUCUCUGCCACUUUUUCUUAUAUCUGUAUGCUUUUCUAAACCUAUUUUGCAACAAGUUAAGUUUUUGCACAUAGGAUUAGAAGGCAGGCAUAGAACAGUUAAAUAAUAGUUACUCAUUUUUUUCCAGUUCCAUUUCUGAUCCCCUCAUGCAUUUUUAUGCCUUGGUAUUGUAGAAACUCUGCCUUUGUACAGUUAUCCUAAGCUGAGUAUUGCAUCAGUCAAAGCCUAGGUAAAUCAAGAGUAGAGAGAUUAAAAAAUGUUACUGCAGCUGUUUAUUAUUUUUCCCUUGAGGUGACAUCAGAUAUCAAACCCUUGCAGUUUUUAAAACUGAGCCAAGGUAUAUACUGCAGCAGAUUGCCCAUCUGGUGUGACUUCAGAAUAUUAAAAUCUUCUGCAGGCUAUCAGCACACAGACGAGUCAAAAUCUUUGCAAUCACCCAGACAUCUUAUUUCACACUACACAGAGUUGUGUGAUCUCAAAUUAAGAUGUUCAAAAUCACCAUUAUUAGUUUGUGAUGAAUGUUGAUCAUAUCACCCAACCACAACAGUUAUGCAUUUCAUCUGUAGCUGUCCAGCCAAUACGCAGUUACUGAAAAAACGUUUUGUCUGUGAUCCAAAAUCUUACAGGAAAUCAAGAACUGUCAUUUACAGAGUGUGAAAUCAAACAACUUUCUAGACUCUGUUGAACAUUGUCACUGUAGAUUAAUGCCAUACAACUCCUAAGUGAUUGCAAAGCCAUGAUUUACAUAGGCUGAAUCUGAAUGAAUAUAGCUUGUAUAAUCUCCCAGUUUAAAAUAAAUGGUUGUACAAUGACAGACUUUGGUUUUAGAUACACAGACCACUUUCCUCUAU